This 611-nucleotide ribosomal RNA is filed under the name Lysinibacillus sphaericus. RNAcentral describes it as "partial 16S ribosomal RNA". The stretch from base 3 to 342 matches the Rfam family "Bacterial small subunit ribosomal RNA", at positions 44 to 395 of the family's 1533-position model. Lineage: Bacteria; Bacillati; Bacillota; Bacilli; Caryophanales; Bacillaceae. The record is from RNAcentral.
UGGUGUAAUCAUGUAGUAGACCACAGAUAAGGAGGUUGCUUCUGACGUUAGCGGUGGACGGUGAUGUAACACGUGAGCACCUACCUUUAAGUGUUGAUAACUCCGGGAAACCGGGGCUAAUACCGAAUAAUCUUUUCACCUCAUGGUGAAAUAUUGAAAGACGGUUCUACGCUGUCGCUAUGGAUGGGCCCUGGCGCAUUAGCUACUCUGGGAGGUAACCGGCUCACCAAGGCGACAUCGGUAGACGACCUGAGAGGUGAUUGACCACUGGACUUUAACGGGCAAACUCUUACUGGAGGCAGAGCGGGAAUCUUCCAAUGGGCGAAAAUCCUGAUGAGCAACUCUUUGAGGAAAGAAGAUUCGGUCUUUAAACCUAUGUGUUAACGGGAACGACCUUGCCACGAACAAUGGUUUGUUACCGGCCUAUAGGAAACCCUGUUAUUCGGCCAAGGAUGGAUACCUUGGUGGGGAUUUGGGCCGGAUAUUGGCCCAAGGUUCCCCGUGGUUACCCUAAUGCAAUGCACGAAUCAGGGUCGACUGGGGGUUGGGAAUAAGGUCUUGGGGCAACCUGCAAAAUUUUUGGCUCCGGGGGUAUUUGUGUCCCCCUUUGG